Molecule: long non-coding RNA, 628 nt
Organism: Carlito syrichta (Philippine tarsier)
Lineage: Eukaryota; Metazoa; Chordata; Mammalia; Primates; Tarsiidae
Exons: 2
Source: RefSeq, a predicted model, not a curated record
GCUGUCAUGUUUCCCACUCAGAUCUGAUGUGUCUAUGCCUGUUCCAGCGUGGGAGAGGUGUGUUUGUCUCUCCGAGUCUGAUAAGAGAUCUUCUCUCUGUAGUACCCCCUCUGCAUCAUCUACCUAGAAAAUAUGAGAAUCGGGGAGAAGGAAGUGAAUUCAAGAUCUGCGUGCCCUCAUGGGGUAUGACAGGUGGGAGUUCAUUGGGAAGCUGAGCUCUGGAUGUCUACUGUGGACCAGGCCUUUCCCAGCAAUGGAGCCAGCGACAAUGCUCACUUCAACAUCCAUGUCAUUGAACUUGUUACAGAUGAGCUGUUAUAAUGAAGGCUUUCUGGUUAAUUAAACCCUCUGAAUGAUUCUGUGUAGUGUUGAGUUCUGUGAUUCAUUACAGAGCAGUUUUCUGUCUUUCAUGGAUUAUUACUGUUUUCAGUGAAUAUGUUUGGUUGUUGACUCAGUUUGGCACCAAUCAUCCAGUGCGUCAAAAACCAGAGUUGAGGACAAAUUACCCUCAUCAUCUUUUCUGAGAACUUUAAUUCGCUUUAUUUUUCAAUUGUUGCAAAUGUCAUUGUUUCUGUUAAUGUUGUUUUUUUAAACAUCUUCCCAAAAUAAAAACAAAUAUCACUUACAA